Molecule: ribosomal RNA, 180 nt
Filed under: uncultured Glomeromycotina
Lineage: Eukaryota; Fungi; Glomeromycota
Description: partial small subunit ribosomal RNA
Source: RNAcentral
AACCUGGUUGGGUGGUCUGCCUUCACGGUACGUACUGCUUGGCCGGGUUCUACCUCUUGGUGAGCCAGCAUGCCCUUCACUGGGUGUGUCGGGGAACCAGGACUUUUACCUUGAAAAAAUUAGAGUGCUCCAUACAGGCAUUUGCUUGAAUACAUUAGCAUGGAAUAACGGAAUAGGACU